RNAcentral lists this ribosomal RNA (253 nucleotides) under uncultured bacterium. RNAcentral's name for it is "partial 16S ribosomal RNA". It matches the Rfam family "Bacterial small subunit ribosomal RNA", at positions 524 to 776 of the family's 1533-position model. The record is from RNAcentral.
UACGUAGGGUGCGAGCGUUGUCCGGAAUUACUGGGCGUAAAGAGCUUGUAGGUGGUUUGUCGCGUUGUUCGUGAAAUCUCACGGCUUAACUGUGAGCGUGCGGGCGAUACGGGCAGACUGGAGUACUGCAGGGGAGACUGGAAUUCCUGGUGUAGCGGUGGAAUGCGCAGAUAUCAGGAGGAACACCGGUGGCGAAGGCGGGUCUCUGGGCCGAUACUGACGCUGAGGAGCGAAAGCGUGGGGAGCGAACAGG